AAGGUUUAACUAAACUAGGCACAAACCAUUCACAAUCUUGAGGAUCUGGAACAAAUACUACUUGUUGAGAUUAUUCCAUAAACAUAAAGUGCUUAUGAGGUUCUCUACUGCUAGAAUCUACCAGGCAUGAAUAAUUCACAAGUUUAAAUUAAGGUGUUGCUAAAAUAGAAAAGGAUUAUUCUUUUUGAAACAGACUAAAAAGGUAAAACAGAGGGAGUAUAUACAUAAUAAGUUAGAUAUAACGCUUAAUUUUUACAAUUAUCAACCAUCUCUGACUAAAAAUUUAAAAGCAAUUGUCGAUGUUCCCUCAACAAUGUUUUCAUCCAUUUCAAAUACAUUUUCUCUAUCGUACUCUCUGAUACUUUGAGAAUUGGAUGGAAAUUUCUUUAAUUUCAACAAACCAAUUGUAAUCCCACAAAUGGGAAUGGAAGGUAGUGUUGAAAAAUAUGUUCCAAGAACACAUACAAAAUGAAUGAAGAAGAAGACAAAGAUGAAGAUUAGUGAUAUGAUCAUCGAAAACAGGAUUAGAGGCUUGAAACACACCCCAAAUGCUUUUCUAAAAAUGAUAUUUGCUUUCUCUUCUCUGUGAGAUUGCUAUGGUAUUUAAUGCUAAUAGUUUUAAUGGAUAUGAAAAGCCAAUUGAAUCCUGGACUAAGCAAAUAGUGAAGAAAUUCUUCUGGAAAGCAAAAAAGUCAAGACAUGGUUUUUUGUUGAAGAAGGAAAACCUUUGAAAAAAGUUAUAUCUUUAUAUUCCUGAGAUAGAGUGGCUUGAUAUCACAAAUUGAGCUUAUAUUUUGCAAAAUCAAUGGAUUCUCUGAAUAAUCUCGUAACCACUCAACUCCUUUAAUUUUCUUACUUUUACUAAUGCAAGAUUUUCUUGAUUUCGAGAAAUUGUAACUCCGCACAAGGUAAGUACCUAUCAUAUGGUAAUUUUUUUUUUCUCACAUUUUCGACGCCAACUUGCAUCGAUAUUUUUAAAUAUUUAGUUCUCUAAAGAAAAUCAAAACUCAACCACUAGCUCUUUCAACAUAAUGGGCUGACUCAAUUUAGGAUCAAAUAUGAAUUGAGUUAUUGGAAUCACUAUUAUUUGAUGACUCAAAUAGUACACUAUUUUCUUCUCAACUAUCAAAAAUGUAUCAAGGUUUAACUAAACUAGGCACAAACCAUUCACAAUCUUGAGGAUCUGGAACAAAUACUACUUGUUGAGAUUAUUCCAUAAACAUAAAGUGCUUAUGAGGUUCUCUACUGCUAGAAUCUACCAGGCAUGAAUAAUUCACAAGUUUAAAUUAAGGUGUUGCUAAAAUAGAAAAGGAUUAUUCUUUUUGAAACAGACUAAAAAGGUAAAACAGAGGGAGUAUAUACAUAAUAAGUUAGAUAUAACGCUUAAUUUUUACAAUUAUCAACCAUCUCUGACUAAAAAUUUAAAAGCAAUUGUCGAUGUUCCCUCAACAAUGUUUUCAUCCAUUUCAAAUACAUUUUCUCUAUCGUACUCUCUGAUACUUUGAGAAUUGGAUGGAAAUUUCUUUAAUUUCAACAAACCAAUUGUAAUCCCACAAAUGGGAAUGGAAGGUAGUGUUGAAAAAUAUGUUCCAAGAACACAUACAAAAUGAAUGAAGAAGAAGACAAAGAUGAAGAUUAGUGAUAUGAUCAUCGAAAACAGGAUUAGAGGCUUGAAACACACCCCGAAUGCUUUUCUAAAAAUGAUAUUUGCUUUCUCUUCUCUGUGAGAUUGCUAUGGUAUUUAAUGCUAAUAGUUUUAAUGGAUAUGAAAAGCCAAUUGAAUCCUGGACUAAGCAAAUAGUGAAGAAAUUCUUCUGGAAAGCAAAAAAGUCAAGACAUGGUUUUUUGUUGAAGAAGGAAAACCUUUGAAAAAAGUUAUAUCUUUA
RNAcentral lists this long non-coding RNA (1886 nucleotides) under Capsicum annuum. RNAcentral describes it as "long non-coding RNA (CANN_LNC011290)". Lineage: Eukaryota; Viridiplantae; Streptophyta; Magnoliopsida; Solanales; Solanaceae. The record is from RNAcentral.